This 848-nucleotide ribosomal RNA is filed under the name uncultured bacterium. Its description in RNAcentral is "bacterial SSU rRNA". It matches the Rfam family "Bacterial small subunit ribosomal RNA", at positions 23 to 886 of the family's 1533-position model. The record is from RNAcentral.
CUCAGGAUGAACGCUGGCGGCGUGCUUAACACAUGCAAGUCGAACGUGAACCUAAUUUCGGUUAGGGGAAAGUGGCGAACGGGUGAGUAACACGUUGGUGACCUGCCCUGGGGAGGGGGAUAACCCCUCGAAAGAGGAGCUAAUACCCCGGAUGUCGUCGAGAUGGGACUUGACUGACUAAAGGCGAAAGCCGCCCCUGGGAGGGGCCUGCGGGCUAUCAGCUAGUUGGUGAGGUAACGGCUCACCAAGGCGAAGACGGCUAGGGGGCGUGAGAGCGUGGUCCCCCACAAUGGAACUGAGACACGGUCCAUACUCCUACGGGAGGCAGCAGUGAGGAAUAUUGCCCAAUGGAGGGAACUCUGAGGCAGCAACGCCGCGUGGACGAUGACGGCCUUCGGGUUGUAAAGUCCUUUUCUGUGGGAAGAUGAUGACGGUACCACAGGAAUAAGUCCCGGCUAACUACGUGCCAGCAGCCGCGGUAAAACGUAGGGGGCGAGCGUUAUCCGGAUUUACUGGGCGUAAAGCGCGCGCAGGCGGCUGAUCAAGUUGGACGUGAAAGCUCCCGGCUUAACUGGGAGAGGUCGUUCGAGACUGGUCGGCUAGAGGCCAAGAGAGGAGAGCAGAAUUCCCGGUGUAGUGGUGGAAUGCGUAGAUAUCGGGAGGAAUACCAGUGGCGAAGGCGGCUCUCUGGCUUGGAACUGACGCUGAGGUGCGAAAGCGUGGGGAGCGAACGGGAUUAGAUACCCCGGUAGUCCACGCUGUAAACGAUGGAUACUGGGCGUAGGGGGUAAUCAACCACCCCCUGUGCCGAAGCCAACGCGAUAAGUAUCCCGCCUGGGGACUACGGC